AGUGAACGCUGGCGGUAGGCCUAACACAUGCAAGUCGAACGGCAGCACAGUAAGAGCUUGCUCUUACGGGUGGCGAGUGGCGGACGGGUGAGGAAUACAUCGGAAUCUACUUUUUCGUGGGGGAUAACGUAGGGAAACUUACUCUAAUACCGCAUACGACCUACGGUUGAAAGCAGGGGAUCUUCGGACCUUGCGCGAUUGAAUGAGCCGAUGUCGGAUUAGCUAGUUGGCGGGGUAAAUGCCCACCAAGGCGACGAUCCGUAGCUUGUCUGAGAGGAUGAUCAGCCACACUGGAACUGAGACACGGUCCAGACUCCUACGGGAGGCAGCAGUGGGGAAUAUUGGACAAUGGGCGCAAGCCUGAUCCAGCCAUACCGCGUGGGUGAAGAAGGCCUUCGGGUUGUAAAGCCCUUUUGUUGGGAAAGAAAAGCAGCAGGUUAAUACCACGCUGUUCUGACGGUAACCAAAGAAUAAGCACCGGCUAACUUCGUG
RNAcentral lists this ribosomal RNA (492 nucleotides) under uncultured bacterium. Its description in RNAcentral is "partial 16S ribosomal RNA". It matches the Rfam family "Bacterial small subunit ribosomal RNA", at positions 29 to 507 of the family's 1533-position model. The record is from RNAcentral.